This 1264-nucleotide ribosomal RNA is filed under the name Staphylococcus aureus. Its description in RNAcentral is "bacterial SSU rRNA". It matches the Rfam family "Bacterial small subunit ribosomal RNA", at positions 196 to 1446 of the family's 1533-position model. The record is from RNAcentral. Lineage: Bacteria; Bacillati; Bacillota; Bacilli; Caryophanales; Staphylococcaceae.
AAAAGUGAAAGACGGUCUUGCUGUCACUUAUAGAUGGAUCCGCGCUGCAUUAGCUAGUUGGUAAGGUAACGGCUUACCAAGGCAACGAUGCAUAGCCGACCUGAGAGGGUGAUCGGCCACACUGGAACUGAGACACGGUCCAGACUCCUACGGGAGGCAGCAGUAGGGAAUCUUCCGCAAUGGGCGAAAGCCUGACGGAGCAACGCCGCGUGAGUGAUGAAGGUCUUCGGAUCGUAAAACUCUGUUAUUAGGGAAGAACAUAUGUGUAAGUAACUGUGCACAUCUUGACGGUACCUAAUCAGAAAGCCACGGCUAACUACGUGCCAGCAGCCGCGGUAAUACGUAGGUGGCAAGCGUUAUCCGGAAUUAUUGGGCGUAAAGCGCGCGUAGGCGGUUUUUUAAGUCUGAUGUGAAAGCCCACGGCUCAACCGUGGAGGGUCAUUGGAAACUGGAAAACUUGAGUGCAGAAGAGGAAAGUGGAAUUCCAUGUGUAGCGGUGAAAUGCGCAGAGAUAUGGAGGAACACCAGUGGCGAAGGCGACUUUCUGGUCUGUAACUGACGCUGAUGUGCGAAAGCGUGGGGAUCAAACAGGAUUAGAUACCCUGGUAGUCCACGCCGUAAACGAUGAGUGCUAAGUGUUAGGGGGUUUCCGCCCCUUAGUGCUGCAGCUAACGCAUUAAGCACUCCGCCUGGGGAGUACGACCGCAAGGUUGAAACUCAAAGGAAUUGACGGGGACCCGCACAAGCGGUGGAGCAUGUGGUUUAAUUCGAAGCAACGCGAAGAACCUUACCAAAUCUUGACAUCCUUUGACAACUCUAGAGAUAGAGCCUUCCCCUUCGGGGGACAAAGUGACAGGUGGUGCAUGGUUGUCGUCAGCUCGUGUCGUGAGAUGUUGGGUUAAGUCCCGCAACGAGCGCAACCCUUAAGCUUAGUUGCCAUCAUUAAGUUGGGCACUCUAAGUUGACUGCCGGUGACAAACCGGAGGAAGGUGGGGAUGACGUCAAAUCAUCAUGCCCCUUAUGAUUUGGGCUACACACGUGCUACAAUGGACAAUACAAAGGGCAGCGAAACCGCGAGGUCAAGCAAAUCCCAUAAAGUUGUUCUCAGUUCGGAUUGUAGUCUGCAACUCGACUACAUGAAGCUGGAAUCGCUAGUAAUCGUAGAUCAGCAUGCUACGGUGAAUACGUUCCCGGGUCUUGUACACACCGCCCGUCACACCACGAGAGUUUGUAACACCCGAAGCCGGUGGAGUAACCUUUUAGG